UUAAUUCGAUGCAACGCGAAAAACCUUACCUACCCUUGACAUGUCUGGAAUCCUGAAGAGAUUUGGGAGUGCUCGAAAGAGAGCCAGAACACAGGUGCUGCAUGGCCGUCGUCAGCUCGUGUCGUGAGAUGUUGGGUUAAGUCCCGCAACGAGCGCAACCCUUGUCAUUAGUUGCUACGAAAGGGCACUCUAAUGAGACUGCCGGUGACAAACCGGAGGAAGGUGGGGAUGACGUCAGGUCAUCAUGGCCCUUAUGGGUAGGGCUACACACGUCAUACAAUGGCCGGGACAGAGGGCUGCCAACCCGCGAGGGGGAGCUAAUCCCAGAAACCCGGUCGUAGUCCGGAUCGUAGUCUGCAACUCGACUGCGUGAAGUCGGAAUCGCUAGUAAUCGCGGAUCAGCUUGCCGCGGUGAAUACGUUCCCGGGUCUUGUACACACCGCCUGUCACACCAUGGGAGCGGGUUCUGCCAGAAGUAGUUAGCCUAACCGCAAGGGGGGCGA
RNAcentral lists this ribosomal RNA (503 nucleotides) under uncultured Roseateles sp. RNAcentral describes it as "bacterial SSU rRNA". It matches the Rfam family "Bacterial small subunit ribosomal RNA", at positions 946 to 1453 of the family's 1533-position model. Lineage: Bacteria; Pseudomonadati; Pseudomonadota; Betaproteobacteria; Burkholderiales; Sphaerotilaceae. The record is from RNAcentral.